Long non-coding RNA from Setaria italica (foxtail millet), 515 nucleotides. RefSeq lists it as uncharacterized. NCBI's taxonomy places the organism in Eukaryota, Viridiplantae, Streptophyta, Magnoliopsida, Poales, Poaceae. The record is from RefSeq and is a predicted model, not a curated record. The transcript has 3 exons.
UUCUUUUUCCUGUCGCCUCCCCUGGACAACAUCCCCGCCUAAACACUUUGUGCCGUCCUCCCUAUCCAUGGCCGCAUAGAGAUCAUUAGGGAGACAGAGAAUGAAGAAGAGAAGAGGAGAGGAGAGAUUAGAGGGAGGGGUGUUGGUGUCUCUCCUACUGAAGGGGAAGGGGAAGGCAGCAAGGGGAACAAGCAAAACGGAACGAGAUUGAGGAGUGGAUCACGAAGAUGUGCUAGAUCGCCGUGUGCUCGUUGUUCCCUUCGUUGUUGUUCACGGCAAACCCUAGGUAGUCAAGGCAUGUCAUGAUGGGAUGGGAAGUAGAAGCACAUUUCAUUGAACCAUAUUUCCACUUAAAAUUUUGUGUUGUAGCCAUAUUAAAAGUUUAGUUCAUGAAGUUCUUUGUUUAUUUUUUUUAACUGUGUGACAAUUGUUUAAGCUUAUAUGCUUCUUUCUUGGUGCUUGUUUGGAUAAUGUUAUAAAUGAUUCUUUGCUUUAUAUAUCAUUUAUCACUAUUA